Molecule: transfer RNA, 38 nt
Filed under: Inga edulis
Lineage: Eukaryota; Viridiplantae; Streptophyta; Magnoliopsida; Fabales; Fabaceae
Also listed under: 17 other names
Description: partial tRNA-His
Source: RNAcentral
GGCGGAUGUAGCCAAGUGGAUCAAGGCAGUGGAUUUGA